Molecule: long non-coding RNA, 743 nt
Organism: Cyprinus carpio (common carp)
Lineage: Eukaryota; Metazoa; Chordata; Actinopteri; Cypriniformes; Cyprinidae
Exons: 2
Source: RefSeq, a predicted model, not a curated record
UUCCAGCUCUGGGUUUAUCAUAUUUAAUCUAUAUAGAAAGUGUUUACUCUAUUUAAACUGGGUUUUAUAAAGACACACUUGGCUGUAUUUAAAACUCAUCUCUAGAGAGUAUAAAGAUGUGUUUUCAUAAAGAGAUGAAUGUCUGUAGUGGAGCGGUUGUGUGAAAAGUGCUUAUAUGGCAAUGAUCUUGAGAUAUGCUACCAAACGUUGUUCAUCCGCUUCCUUAUCUAUAUCAGAAGAAUUUAAGAACAAUUUUAGGCUCAUAUAAUCUUGUGAAUCUGUCAAGGUUUACACUCAAACCAAUGUUUCUAUUCAAUUAUAUUAGUCCAUGUUCAUGUUUACAAAAGAAAACACACACAUUCUCUUUCUGAUCAUUCUGAUCAUGUGAUUUCACCAACCACAGUGUGUGUACGCGUCUAUAUAAAGACCAGCAGAAAGCUGUCAUUUCUUAUUUGGACUUCAGAAGAUGGACAGAUUGACUUACACAGAGAGAUAUCAGCUCUCAGGUCACACAUCAGUAAUGGAACCAAAUGCACAUUUAAACCUGAUUUUGCUGGGGACCGCAAGAGCUGGAAAGAGUGCGUCAGGAAACACAAUACUGGGACGAAAAGCUUUUGUGACGAAUGAAAGUCCCUUUUCAGGCACACAAGAUGUUUCUGUUGAACACAGAAAUAAAUUAUAAUUUAAAGUAUAAUAAAUUUAAAAACAAUUAUUUUAAAUUGUAAUAAUAUAUCACAAUAUUA